Molecule: ribosomal RNA, 275 nt
Filed under: uncultured bacterium
Lineage: Bacteria
Description: partial 16S ribosomal RNA
Rfam family: Bacterial small subunit ribosomal RNA
Source: RNAcentral
GCGUGAGUGAUGAAGGCCUUAGGGUUGUAAAGCUCUUUUACCCGGGAUGAUAAUGACAGUACCGGGAGAAUAAGCCCCGGCUAACUCCGUGCCAGCAGCCGCGGUAAUACGGAGGGGGCUAGCGUUGUUCGGAAUUACUGGGCGUAAAGCGCGCGUAGGCGGUCUUUUAAGUCAGAGGUGAAAGCCUGGAGCUCAACUCCAGAACUGCCUUUGAAACUGGAAGACUUGAAUCAUGGAGAGGUUAGUGGAAUUCCGAGUGUAGAGGUGAAAUUCGU